This 465-nucleotide ribosomal RNA is filed under the name Vreelandella stevensii. RNAcentral's name for it is "partial 16S ribosomal RNA". It matches the Rfam family "Bacterial small subunit ribosomal RNA", at positions 338 to 795 of the family's 1533-position model. Lineage: Bacteria; Pseudomonadati; Pseudomonadota; Gammaproteobacteria; Oceanospirillales; Halomonadaceae. The record is from RNAcentral.
CCUACGGGUGGCUGCAGUGGGGAAUAUUGGACAAUGGGGGCAACCCUGAUCCAGCCAUGCCGCGUGUGUGAAGAAGGCCCUCGGGUUGUAAAGCACUUUCAGUGAGGAAGAACGCCUGGUGGUUAAUACCCAUCAGGAAAGACAUCACUCACAGAAGAAGCACCGGCUAACUCCGUGCCAGCAGCCGCGGUAAUACGGAGGGUGCGAGCGUUAAUCGGAAUUACUGGGCGUAAAGCGCGCGUAGGUGGCUUGAUAAGCCGGUUGUGAAAGCCCCGGGCUCAACCUGGGAACGGCAUCCGGAACUGUCAAGCUAGAGUGCAGGAGAGGAAGGUAGAAUUCCCGGUGUAGCGGUGAAAUGCGUAGAGAUCGGGAGGAAUACCAGUGGCGAAGACGGCCUUCUGGACUGACACUGACACUGAGGUGCGAAAGCGUGGGUAGCAAACAGGAUUAGAUACCCCGGUAGUC